RNAcentral lists this non-coding RNA (25 nucleotides) under Canis lupus familiaris (dog). Lineage: Eukaryota; Metazoa; Chordata; Mammalia; Carnivora; Canidae. The record is from RNAcentral. RNAcentral also lists the same sequence under 1 other name.
CCCGGCUCGCUGGCGUGGAGCCGGG